AUACGGAGGAUCCGAGCGUUAUCCGGAUUUAUUGGGUUUAAAGGGUGCGCAGGCGGCCAUUUAAGUCAGCGGUUAAAUCGUGGGGCUCAACCCCAUUCUGCCGUUGAUACUGGGUGGCUUGAUUGCGGUCGAGGUUGGCGGAAUUCGUUGUGUAGCGGUGAAAUGCAUAGAUAUGACGAAGAACACCGAUUGCGUAGGCAGCUGACCAGACCGCAAAUGACGCUCAUGCACGAAAGUGCGGGGAUCGAACAGGAUUAGAUACCCUGGUAGUCCGCACAGUAAACGAUGAAUACGUGUUUUCGGCGAUAUAAUGUCGGAGGCAAAGCGAAAGCGAUAAGUAUUUCACCUGGGGAGUACGCCGGCAACGGUGAAACUCAAAGGAAUUGGCGGGG
Molecule: ribosomal RNA, 392 nt
Filed under: uncultured bacterium
Lineage: Bacteria
Description: partial 16S ribosomal RNA
Rfam family: Bacterial small subunit ribosomal RNA
Source: RNAcentral